This 774-nucleotide long non-coding RNA is filed under the name Prunus dulcis (almond). RNAcentral's name for it is "sRNA ncRNA". Lineage: Eukaryota; Viridiplantae; Streptophyta; Magnoliopsida; Rosales; Rosaceae. The record is from RNAcentral.
AUGACUAGUCAAGAAGACCGUGAAGAGCCCGGUUGUGGAGACGGAGAGAUGACGAACGGGACCGAGGGUGCUCAUCUUCUUCUAUUUUUAAAGCAUACAAUCUUGAAUCCCGAAACAGCGAGAGAUUUGGAGCACAUGAAGCGCAAAAUUCUUUCUGGAAUUGAGUUAAACUCACCCAGCAGAAGUAAGCGAAAAGCACUACGAAUCCAAGAACCUGAAGCCCCGCGAGCCCGAGAAUCCACUAAUGGUGCUGCACGAGGACGAAGCUUACCUAGAGAACUGCAAUUUCAACAACAAGAAAGAGGAGGUUUGUUCUAUGGAAACUAUGCCCCUCCUGAUUUGCCACCAAUCCCAAGCCUACAAAACUUAAUCCAAGAUUGCAGUAAGCCUUUUGAGAAACAGCUCACACGCAGUGAUGUGAAAGAAGACCAAUGCAGGCUCUCCAUGAACAAAGAAGAUGUCGAAUAUAACAUCAUGCCAUUGUUGAGAAACGGUGACAACCUUAAUGAAGGCAUCGAUGUGACAACUUAUGACAUGGCUGGCAACGAGUACCCAAUGGUGUUCAAGAUUUGGGCCACCAAGAUUCAUGUCCUCACUGGAGGCUGGAAAACUUUCUGUAAUGAUCUCGGACUGGUUGAGAACCAGGAUUUUGUGACCUUGUGGGUUUUUCGCCAUGUCGACAAUGGAGGCCUCUGCUUCGCAAUCCAUUCAAGAAGGUUGCCGGUGUUCAAACCCAUCAAGAAAAGAAGACCGAUAAGGCAGAAAUACCAUUAA